GGCAAUUCUCGGCAGGGCCGAGGCUUGUAGGAGUUGACCUGACAAGACGCCUCGGAGGGUUCUGUUCUGCGCCAGAACAGCAUGUCAAGAGGCAGGUAGAUAUAUGACAUACAAAAUACGAGGACAUUGAAACAUUUGCUGUACUGUUAGAUUAAUUACGUGAGGAAGAAUCUUCAUAUACUCUUACAUGAAAAUAGACAUAAAGAAAGAAGGAACUAAAUUGUUGUAAGACGUUUUUCUUUGUAGAAAAUUUAAUUAACAGAGAGACUACAAUACUAUCGCUAUCAGAACCCUACAAAUCACAAAAGUCAUUCGGAAAAUAGAUAUUUAUAAUUGAGCAACUUCCAUUUUUUGUUGCACUGAACAUUAUACGAAUUCUAAGUGCACCGUAUCAGCAUUCUCGACGUAUUUGUGUUUCUCUUUCUCGAAAAAGUCCACCAAAUGAUCGAUAAAUUUCCCGUGAUACUCGUUAACCUGCUCUUCGGUUGGUUCUUCAAUUUUUGGUAAAUCCAUCGGACUACCGACUGCAAG
Frieseomelitta varia is the source of this 531-nucleotide long non-coding RNA. RefSeq lists it as uncharacterized. The transcript is spliced from 2 exons. NCBI's taxonomy places the organism in Eukaryota, Metazoa, Arthropoda, Insecta, Hymenoptera, Apidae. The record is from RefSeq and is a predicted model, not a curated record.